RNAcentral lists this ribosomal RNA (482 nucleotides) under uncultured bacterium. RNAcentral describes it as "SSU rRNA". It matches the Rfam family "Bacterial small subunit ribosomal RNA", at positions 26 to 518 of the family's 1533-position model. The record is from RNAcentral.
AGGACGAACGCUGGCGGCGUGCCUAACACAUGCAAGUCGAACGAGGUCCAACCGGUAGCAAUACUGGUGAAGAUCAAGUGGCGAACGGGUGAGUAGCACGUGAGCAACCUGCCCCGAAGACCGGGACAACACCGGGAAACCGGUGCUAAUACCGGAUACCCCCACCGAAUCGCAUGGUUUGGUGAGGAAAUGGAUUCCGCUUCGGGAGGGGCUCGCGGCCUAUCAGCUUGUUGGUGAGGUAACGGCUCACCAAGGCUUCGACGGGUAGCUGGUCUGAGAGGACGAUCAGCCACACUGGGACUGAGACACGGCCCAGACUCCUACGGGAGGCAGCAGUGGGGAAUCUUGCACAAUGGGCGAAAGCCUGAUGCAGCAACGCCGCGUGAGGGACGAAGGCUUUCUGAGUUGUAAACCUCUUUCAGCAGGGACGAUUGUGACGGUACCUGCAGAAGAAGCCCCGGCAACUACGUGCCAGCAGCCGC